UUUUUCGUAUCUCUUGAAAAAUAACUUGGGCGAAUCGAAUGCAAGUGUACGAACGAACUUCGUGUCCACAAUUCAUUUCCUUUUUAGAUCUUUAAAACUAUAUGUGGUUUACUAUAAUUUGUCACUUUACUUUUCUAUCCUGGUGAAGAUCACGUCCCAAACAAUUCUUUUACUGAUUUUCUCGUUUCUACAUGGGUGAAGAUCAUAAAAUAUAC
RNAcentral lists this long non-coding RNA (215 nucleotides) under Brassica napus (rape). RNAcentral describes it as "long non-coding RNA (BNAP_LNC010255)". The record is from RNAcentral. Lineage: Eukaryota; Viridiplantae; Streptophyta; Magnoliopsida; Brassicales; Brassicaceae.